UGAUCACGUGCCUCUUGGAAAGAUGUUGUCAGGAAGGCUCACCAGACACCCACAAAUCCUACUAAAUGAAGACAGUUAUAUUCAAACUGCCGUACUCAGAAGCGAAUCCCCCAACAGUCAGCUCAACACCUUCCUCGUGCAGUCAUCCCGAAACCUGGGCAGGACGCCUCGUUAGUCAUUUUUUCUAUUUCUCCCCGCAGAAAACAGGCAGCUAAAGCUUUCGCAAUGUUAUGCCGUUAAUUUAAUGGCUAUUGACGCAGCUGUUGUACCGUAGGCCCCCGCAGUAACUGCCAAUAAAAAGAAGAUACAUCUCUGCUUUUCAGCUACGAGGGGUGUUUUUGCUAUUUCUUGUAAACGUUGAGGAUGGUAUGUGUUUGGAGGAGCAUAAAGGAAUUAGGCUUAAAAACAAAUAUACUACAAUUUUUAUAUCAAAGCUUCAUAAAGAUGGUGAGGCUGGUGGUGUCUGUUGGUUAUGAAAUCAUAAAAAGAUAGGUUAAACGCUAAUCUUGUUCUUGCAGCUUAAAAACCUAAUUUCUGGGAGCUGCCUGGGGAGUAGUCAGAUCAAUAGGCCCAUGGAUGGCACUUGUUGCCUGUAUUUUGUGCUCUGCUCCAUACAUUUAUUCCAGCGGAGCAUUAGGACAAUGUACUGCGUUCUCUUCGGAAAUUGUUAGCCACACAAGACCAUCUGUUUUGCAAUUUUUUCGGACCAUGGUGAGUUACUCUAGGAUUUUUGUUUGUUUCAAUUUCAGGUAUAACCCCAGCAAUGGAGAUAAACUUCCAGAAAUAAUGGCAGCUACUUACCACUGCCAUUCCAGACAAGAGUUAUCUGGUAUGGGUACCUCGCGUUUUGAGCAGAAGGCUGCUAAUUUCUCACGUGAUCUUUAUCAAGAAGUACAGAAUCAGUGA
Molecule: long non-coding RNA, 906 nt
Filed under: Vulpes vulpes (red fox)
Lineage: Eukaryota; Metazoa; Chordata; Mammalia; Carnivora; Canidae
Description: lncRNA (ENSVVUG00000023244.1)
Source: RNAcentral